GACGUAGGUGGCCAGCGUUGUCCGGAGUUACUGGGCGUAAAGGGUGCGUAGGCGGCCAAUUAAGUCAAGUGUGAAAGUCCCCGGCUCAACUGUGGGGGAGCGCUUGAAACUGGAUGGCUUGAGGUCGGGUCAGGCAGCGGGAAUUGCCAGUGUAGGGGUGAAAUCCGUAGAUAUUGGGAAGAACGCCUGUGGUGAAGACGCUCCUCUGGACUGAUACUGACACUGAGGCACGAAAGCCAGGGGAGCGAACGGG
This 253-nucleotide ribosomal RNA is filed under the name uncultured bacterium. Its description in RNAcentral is "partial 16S ribosomal RNA". It matches the Rfam family "Bacterial small subunit ribosomal RNA", at positions 524 to 776 of the family's 1533-position model. The record is from RNAcentral.